Molecule: ribosomal RNA, 465 nt
Filed under: uncultured Klebsiella sp.
Lineage: Bacteria; Pseudomonadati; Pseudomonadota; Gammaproteobacteria; Enterobacterales; Enterobacteriaceae
Description: bacterial SSU rRNA
Rfam family: Bacterial small subunit ribosomal RNA
Source: RNAcentral
CCUACGGGGGGCUGCAGUGGGGAAUAUUGCACAAUGGGCGCAAGCCUGAUGCAGCCAUGCCGCGUGUGUGAAGAAGGCCUUCGGGUUGUAAAGCACUUUCAGCGGGGAGGAAGGCGUUAAGGUUAAUAACCUUGUCGAUUGACGUUACCCGCAGAAGAAGCACCGGCUAACUCCGUGCCAGCAGCCGCGGUAAUACGGAGGGUGCAAGCGUUAAUCGGAAUUACUGGGCGUAAAGCGCACGCAGGCGGUCUGUCAAGUCGGAUGUGAAAUCCCCGGGCUCAACCUGGGAACUGCAUUCGAAACUGGCAGGCUAGAGUCUUGUAGAGGGGGGUAGAAUUCCAGGUGUAGCGGUGAAAUGCGUAGAGAUCUGGAGGAAUACCGGUGGCGAAGGCAGCCCCCUGGACAAAGACUGACGCUCAGGUGCGAAAGCGUGGGGAGCAAACAGGAUUAGAUACCCGGGUAGUC